GACGAACGCUGGCGGCGUGCCUAAUACAUGCAAGUAGAACGCUGAAGGAGGAGCUUGCUUCUCUGAAUGAGUUGCGAACGGGUGAGUAACGCGUAGGUAACCUGCCUGGUAGCGGGGGAUAACUAUUGGAAACGAUAGCUAAUACCGCAUAAGAGUAGAUGUUGCAUGACAUUUGCUUAAAAGGUGCAAUUGCAUCACUACCAGAUGGACCUGCGUUGUAUUAGCUAGUUGGUGGGGUAACGGCUUACCAAGGCGACGAUACAUAGCCGACCUGCGAGGGGGAGCGGCCACACUGGGACUGAGACAAGGCCCAGACUCCUACGGGAGGCAGCAGGAGGGAAUCUUCGGCAAGGGACGGAAGUCUGACCGAGCAACGCCGCGGGAGUGAAGAAGGGUUUCGGAUCGUAAAGCUCUGUUGUAAGAGAAGAACGAGUGUGAGAGUGGAAAGUUCACACUGUGACGGUAUCUGACCAGAAAGGGACGGCUAACUACGUG
Molecule: ribosomal RNA, 495 nt
Filed under: uncultured bacterium
Lineage: Bacteria
Description: partial 16S ribosomal RNA
Rfam family: Bacterial small subunit ribosomal RNA
Source: RNAcentral